This 395-nucleotide ribosomal RNA is filed under the name uncultured bacterium. RNAcentral describes it as "partial 16S ribosomal RNA". It matches the Rfam family "Bacterial small subunit ribosomal RNA", at positions 523 to 918 of the family's 1533-position model. The record is from RNAcentral.
AUACGAAGGGAGCUAGCGUUGUUCGAAAUCACUGGGCGUAAAGCGCACGUAGGCGGAUGUGUCAGUCAGGGGUGAAAUCCCGGAGCUCAACUUCGGAACUGCCUCUGAUACAGCACGUCUUGAGUCCGGAAGAGGUGGGUGGAAUUCCUAGUGUAGAGGUGAAAUUCGUAGAUAUUAGGAAGAACACCGGUGGCGAAGGCGGCCCACUGGUCCGGUACUGACGCUGAGGUGCGAAAGCGUGGGGAGCAAACAGGAUUAGAUGCCCGGGUAGUCCACGCUGUAAACGAUGGAUGCUAGCCGUCAGCAAGCAUGCUUGUUGGUGGCGCAGCUAACGCAUUAAGCAUCCCGCCUGGGGAGUACGGCCGCAAGGUUAAAACUCAAAUGAAUUGACGGGG